GAUGAAGAACGUAGUGAAAUGCGAUACGUAAUGUGAAUUGCAGAAUUCAGUGAAUCAUCGAGUCUUUGAACGCACAUUGCGCCCCCUGGUAUUCCGGGGGGCAUGCCUGUCCGAGCGUCAUUGCUGCCCUCAAGCACGGCUUGUGUGUUGGGCCUCCGCCCCCCGGCUCCCGGGGGGCGGGCCCGAAAGGCGGCGGCGGCACCGCGUCCGGUCCUCGAGCGUAUGGGGCUUCGUCACCCGCUCCGUAGGCCCGGCCGGCGCCCGCCGGCGACCCCCCUCAAUCUUUCCAGGUUGACCUCGGAUCAGGUAGGGAUACCCGCUGAACUUAAGCAUAUCAAUAAGCGGAGGA
Molecule: unclassified non-coding RNA, 349 nt
Filed under: soil metagenome
Description: partial contains 5.8S ribosomal RNA, internal transcribed spacer 2, and large subunit ribosomal RNA
Rfam family: 5.8S ribosomal RNA (bases 1-120)
Source: RNAcentral